AGAUUAAUGGUAAUUCUGAGUAACUAUGUUCUGCAGGAGGGUUAUUUUGUAGUCAUUCUGUUGAUCUUCUUAUGUUAGCUCUAAAUAUAAUUGCUCGGUUUGUAAUCAUUCUUUCUCAUAUAAUUACAAUGAAUAUAAUGAUUCCUACAAUAGAAAUUGUAGACCCAAUUCUUGAUACUACGUUUCAUGAUGUAUAUGCGUCUGGGUAGUCAGAGUAUCGUCGAGGUAUUCCUGCUAAUGCUAGGAAGUGUUGAGGAAAGAAUGUUAAAUUUACUCCAAUGAAUAUAAUUGUAAAUUGGAUUUUUAAUCAUGUAUUAUUUAUAGUUAAUCCUGUAAAUAGUGGAUAUCAUUGAAUGACACCUCCUAUAAUUGCAAAUACUGCUCCUAUAGAUAAUACAUAAUGAAAGUGGGCUACUACAUAAUAUGUAUCAUGUAAUACAAUAUCAAGUGAUGAAUUUGCUAAUACUAAUCCUGUUAAUCCACCAAUUGUAAAUAGGAAAAUAAAUCCUAGAGCUCAUAAUAAUGGUGGAUUGAACUUGAAUUUAGUUCCAUAUAAUGUAGCUAAUCAUCUAAAUACCUUAAUUCCUGUAGGUACAGCAAUAAUUAUUGUUGCUGAUGUAAAAUAUGCUCGUGUGUCAACAUCCAUUCCUACUGUAAAUAUAUGAUGUGCUCAUACAAUAAAUCCUAUUAGUCCAAUUGAUAGUAUAGCAUAAAUUAUACCUAAUGUUCCAAAUGAUUCAAUUUUUCCUCUUUCUUGACAUACAAUAUGUGAAAUAAUUCCGAACCCCGGUAGAAUUAAAAUAUAAACUUCUGGGUGUCCAAAGAAUCAAAAUAGAUGUUGAUAUAGAAUUGGGUCAACCCCUCCUGCAGGGUCAAAGAAUGAUGUAUUUAAAUUUCGAUCUGUUAAUAAUAUAGUAAUAGCUCCUGCUAAAACUGGAAGUGAAAGAAGGAGAAGUAAUGCUGUAAUAGCUACAGAUCAUACAAAUAAAGGUGUUUGAUCUAAAGUUAUACUUUCUGAUCGUAUAUUAAUUGCUGUUGUAAUGAAAUUCACUGCACCAAGAAUAGAUGAUACACCUGCUAAGUGCAGUGAAAAAAUAGCUAGAUCUACAGAUGCACCCCCGUGUGCAAUAGCUCCUGCUAGAGGAGGGUAAACUGUUCAUCCUGUACCAGCACCAUUAUCUACUAUAGAAGAUGUAAGAAGAAGGGUUAGUGAAGGUGGUAGUAAUCAAAAACUUAUAUCAUUUAUUCGUGGAAAUGCUAUAUCUGGUGCACCAAUUAUUAGUGGAACAAGUCAAUUACCAAAUCCACCAAUUAUAAUAGGUAUUACUAUAAAGAAAAUUAUUACGAAUGCGUGAGCUGUAAAAAUAACAUUAUAAA
Long non-coding RNA from Schistocerca gregaria, 1377 nucleotides. RefSeq lists it as uncharacterized. The transcript is spliced from 2 exons. Lineage: Eukaryota; Metazoa; Arthropoda; Insecta; Orthoptera; Acrididae. The record is from RefSeq and is a predicted model, not a curated record.